This 253-nucleotide ribosomal RNA is filed under the name uncultured bacterium. RNAcentral's name for it is "partial 16S ribosomal RNA". It matches the Rfam family "Bacterial small subunit ribosomal RNA", at positions 524 to 776 of the family's 1533-position model. The record is from RNAcentral.
UACGGAGGGGGCGAGCGUUAUUCGGAAUCAUUGGGCGUAAAGGGCGCGUAGGCGGCCAGGCAAGUCAGGGGUGAAAUCCCUCGGCUCAACCGAGGAACUGCCUCUGAAACUGCCUAGCUCGAGGCCGGGAGAGGGUAGUGGAAUUCCCAGUGUAGCGGUGAAAUGCGUAGAUAUUGGGAGGAACACCAGUGGCGAAGGCGGCUACCUGGACCGGUUCUGACGCUGAGGCGCGAAAGCGUGGGGAGCAAACAGG